RNAcentral lists this transfer RNA (91 nucleotides) under Candidatus Babelota bacterium. RNAcentral's name for it is "tRNA-Ser". It matches the Rfam family "tRNA". From Rfam's summary of the family: Transfer RNA (tRNA) molecules are approximately 80 nucleotides in length. Their secondary structure includes four short double-helical elements and three loops (D, anti-codon, and T loops). Further hydrogen bonds mediate the characteristic L-shaped molecular structure. tRNAs have two regions of fundamental functional importance: the anti-codon, which is responsible for specific mRNA codon recognition, and the 3' end, to which the tRNAs corresponding amino acid is attached (by aminoacyl-tRNA synthetases). tRNAs cope with the degeneracy of the genetic code in two manners: having more than one tRNA (with a specific anti-codon) for a particular amino acid; and 'wobble' base-pairing, i.e. permitting non-standard base-pairing at the 3rd anti-codon position. The record is from RNAcentral.
GGAGAAGUGGCCGAGCGGUUUAAGGCGGCGGUCUUGAAAACCGUUGAGGGCGAUGAGUCCUCCUGGGGUUCGAAUCCCUACUUCUCCGCCA